UUGGGCUGUCAUGUGCAGCUCGUCAGAGGGAAGAGGCAGCUGAGGGGCCAGGAGCUCAAUGGCGGCUUCAAUUCCAGCCAGCCUACCUGGCUGUGGCCCAUAGAGAGCCCUGACCCUCGGGGUCUCAGCCCCCCACGCACACUCAUUUUACAGACACGGGAGGCGAAGGAAUGCACUCAGGUAGCUUCGGCCCGGGAGAGAAGAGGUUAGGAGGGCUCUGAACAGGUGGACGCUGGGGCUGCUCGCUGGGUGACAGGUGCGCCCUGCAUCCCCACCCACUCUGAGCUGCUGUGUGGCCCCUCAGUGUUUUCAGAGAAACCCAAACCCCAGGGCAGCCCCUCCCUGCACACUGGGCCACACAGCCCACCUCCUGCCUGUCCACGGGACCCCCGGUCAGAUUUUCCAGGAGCAGAGCAGAGUGGAGCAUACCAGGAGGAGCUGAAAACAGCCAACCCCUUUGGAGCUGAGAGGUUGAACACCCAGGAGUCUGCCCCAAACAGAUGAGAAUAGGAGUGUCCUCCACCUGGAAAUCUCUCUAAGGCCCCCGCACAGGAGUGGAUGAAAAUCCAUGAGCUGGUGGGUCCACACGCCGGAGCGCCACUCAGCAAGGACCACAGGGGGAAGAGCUGCUGGGCCACAAGACGGGCUGAAGCCCCCACCUCUGAGGGCGCUGAGUGUCCUGCACCCCACAGUGCAGCAGCCCAGGACACGACUCUGUACCGGCUGGAGCUCGUUGUCUGGACGCUCUUGGGCUCCAUCCUGCUCGGCCAUCAGUGUUGUCGUCCCCCUCAUCGACGCUGUCUCUGCUGUCUCCGCCAUCUCUGCUGUGUCCGCCGUGUCUGCUGUUGCUGCUGUCUCUGCCUAGCUGAAAUCAAUGCAUCUGCUCAGCUGCUUCACCACUUGAGUUAUUUACAGCUUUGAUCUAAGUGAG
Molecule: long non-coding RNA, 931 nt
Filed under: Equus asinus (donkey)
Lineage: Eukaryota; Metazoa; Chordata; Mammalia; Perissodactyla; Equidae
Description: lncRNA (ENSEASG00005023587.1)
Source: RNAcentral